GGGUGGAGGCCGGAUCCUGGGCUGUGUCCCGGCGCCCUGUGCUCCGGAGCCUGCGCUGUUGGAUUCGCGCUCCCGCCCCGCAGCCCCCU
RNAcentral lists this microRNA precursor (89 nucleotides) under Canis lupus familiaris (dog). Its description in RNAcentral is "mir-8799 microRNA precursor family". It matches the Rfam family "mir-8799 microRNA precursor family". Lineage: Eukaryota; Metazoa; Chordata; Mammalia; Carnivora; Canidae. RNAcentral also lists the same sequence under 1 other name. The record is from Rfam by way of RNAcentral.